UGGAUAUCCGGUGGUAGCAACAGUCACUGUACACAGUGGAACCAAACGGGUUAUAAUAACGCAAACAUGAGUAAACGUCGUAGACCACUUGCUCCAGAAGCUAACUUUUGCGUCGUGGGUGGUGGGAGACAUUACCAAGAAGUGAUGAAUGAAAAAUAUGAAGGGAUCAAGGAUUGGCAGACCUACUCGACCACACAGAAAGGUGUUUGCAGCAUCCCCCUAUAGCUGGAAAAAGAGGAAGGAACUUGUGGAUGCACAGAAGAAACUACACUUCUGAUUUACUGUAAUUUGGAUUUAUUUACAUCACUCUGGACAAAAGCUUCUGCCAAAUGGAUACUUGUGGUGGCGUAGAAGUUUACAGUCAAAAGGAAAUACUUACGUAAAGUGAUAUUAUCUUAAAAUUGCACAGUAAUAGACUCUAUUUACAUUUGGUUGAUUUUGUUGCAUAUAUCAACAUCUUUUAUCAUUUGAGAGAUUUUUGCAUUUUUGGGAGACAAAGUGUUCUAAUAAAUGAGCUGCAGAGCUGCAAUAAAUGCACAUGGUUUAGUACAAAUUUAGAAUCUCCAAACUGCAAAUAAUUGCAUGCACAGUUUAGAAAUACAUCUGUUCAUACUCAAGGGCUGAAUGAAUAUGAACUAGCAUGUAAUUUUUUCGAAACAAUUCAAAUGCAGCCCACGGGACAUAUUAUAACCACCCAUUCUCCUCCCACCCCCCAACCCCACCCCCGCAGGUGUAGUUUAUAUAUUUUCCCGAGUGAUGUCAUACAACUGGGCCACAUAUCUUUGCAUAUAAAUCUUGCAGUCUUAUCUGUGAUAGCCUUUUUAUAAGCUUCUGACAAGGGUCAUGAGGAUGAGUGUGGCAAAAAGUAGGCAGGCAGACGAGGUCCAUCUAUUUGAUUUAUGGUACUUAUCUAUUCGAUUUGCCUAUGUAAAAAAACCUAAGUGUACAUUGCAUGACACAUUUCUUUGAAGUUAUAUUUAAGGCUGACUAAGGUUUUCAAUUUUGGAUGUUAAGGUCUACAUACAAUUUCAGUUUAGUUUUACAAAGGCAAGUAGUGUCAUGCCAGCAUUUUCUUUCUUUCAUUUUUAGCCACACCAGCAGCAUGACUCUAAAGGCCUGUUCACACCAGAUACUUGCAGAUUGAAAUUUAUUUACAUGUCUUGAUGACAUAGGAACUAAUUUCAGAUACACUAAUGAAACUAACUUAGAUGGCAAACUUGCCGCUACCAUGCUAUCUAGUUGGAAACAUGCAAGCAUUAAGUAGUCAAAACGGCUUGCCAAGCUUUUUUUCUAUCAGAAUUCUACAUUAUGUCAUUCAAUUCAAGAACUAUUUCAGAGGGGGAUAAAAUUCUCUGAGCUAGUGAGCUUGUUAACGUUCACUUGAUAAGCUACAACAGCUUCCUCCAUUUUAGGCUCUCUGGCUCUCCAUUCCCUUAAAGGUCAGCACUGUCAAGACGACUUGAAGUUGUUCAGCAUUAGGGCUGUGUAUUGGCAAGAAACAGGCAAUAUGAUACUUAUCAUGAUACAGGGGUUACGAUUCAAUAUAUUGUGAUGAGGUGAAAACGCGGGUGUAAUGAUACUGUAAGCAAGGCAAUAUAUUGUAAUAUUUUUAUUGAUCUAAAUUUAGGAAAACUGUCAUAGGAUAAAAUACACACCACUAUAUGCAUAAAAUCUGAGUUAAAAGAAGUUUACUUUUUUAUGCAAUCAGAACAACGGGAUCUUCAUUUGUAUUUAUCACAAUCCCAGUAACAUCCAACAUCAUAUCACUACGUUUUGUGCAGUCUGAGCAAAAGAAUUAACAUUUGCCUAUGUCAGUAAAAAAAAUUAAAUAAAAGUGCUGACGCUACUUCCAAUUUCAGUCUACGUUAUGUUGGAGUGGAAGAGUCAAAUGGCUGCAGAUAGAUUACAAAGCUUUCUAGUGGUCAGGAGUUUAAACACAACACAAAAAACCCCACUGUUGUCCACAAAUCUUUGCAUGUAAACUAUUAAUUAAAAAUAGAUUUUUAGAAUUGAUAGAGUAUCACAAAAACAUUAUAUUGCAGUACUCAAAUACAUUGACAUUUUUUUUUUUUUUUUUACAAAUUACUUCAUUUAUCCUAAUUUUCAUCUCUGAAGGUUGAUUUCGCACUUUAACGCUGCACUAGAUUUCUAAAUGCUAGGAACACAGCAUAUAUCUUUUCGAUCAUGUUUGUAAAUCAACGAUCUGCCAUUUUGUGACUCUCAUUGGCUCAGCCUUCUACGCACGGUUCAGUAACAUAGCUUAUGAAUGGAAGUGAUAAAGUCAAUAUGGCAGCAAUCAGAACUUAAAUGAUAUGUGUUAGCCUAUGGUAAUGUCUUCCUGUUGCUGUAUUUUGUUGUAUCUCAUACAGGGAACAUUGUACAAAAUACAUCCGUUUUUUAAAAA
Molecule: long non-coding RNA, 2404 nt
Organism: Xiphias gladius (swordfish)
Lineage: Eukaryota; Metazoa; Chordata; Actinopteri; Istiophoriformes; Xiphiidae
Exons: 3
Source: RefSeq, a predicted model, not a curated record